AUCUCCAAUGCUCUAGAGCAAGGUUCUUCGAUGGACCUCGCCCUCGCCUCACUAUCGAUGAAGACUGGCCUGAUACAACAAUAAAUAAAUCAUUAGUAUGAUAGCUAUCCAAAUAAAAGAAUCAAAUUUUAUUAUAUAAAAAGUAUAAUAAUACCACUCAGAUCUGUCUUACUGAGACCUGCCUCAUUGGGACCUACCAGUGCAGGACCCUCUGACAAUAGAGCUGGUGCGGCAAUGGAGAUCGAUGAAGGUGCCUCAACCUCCGGGGU
Molecule: long non-coding RNA, 269 nt
Filed under: Elaeis guineensis (African oil palm)
Lineage: Eukaryota; Viridiplantae; Streptophyta; Magnoliopsida; Arecales; Arecaceae
Description: long non-coding RNA (EGUI_LNC037226)
Source: RNAcentral